CUACGGGCUGCUCCAGUGGGGAAUUUUGCGCAAUGGGCGGAAGCCUGACGCAGCAACGCUGCGUGAGGGAUGAAGGUCUUCGGAUUGUAAACCUCUGUCAAGUGGGAAGAACCCUGACGGUACCACUGGAGGAAGCCCCGGCUAACUCCGUGCCAGCAGCCGCGGUAAUACGGAGGGGGCAAGCGUUGUUCGGAAUCAUUGGGCGUAAAGCGUAUGUAGGCGGCCGGAUAAGUCAGGCGUGCAAGCCCAUGGCUUAACCAUGGAAUUGCGUCUGAAACUAUCUGGCUUGAGGACAGGAGAGGAAAGCGGAAUUCCCAGUGUAGCGGUGAAAUGCGUUGAUAUUGGGAAGAACACCGGUGGCGAAGGCGGCUUUCUGGCCUGUUUCUGACGCUGAGAUACGAAAGCCAGGGGAGCGAACGGGAUUAGAUACCCUUGUAGUC
RNAcentral lists this ribosomal RNA (440 nucleotides) under uncultured bacterium. RNAcentral's name for it is "partial 16S ribosomal RNA". It matches the Rfam family "Bacterial small subunit ribosomal RNA", at positions 339 to 795 of the family's 1533-position model. The record is from RNAcentral.